This 326-nucleotide ribosomal RNA is filed under the name uncultured eukaryote. RNAcentral's name for it is "partial 18S ribosomal RNA". It matches the Rfam family "Eukaryotic small subunit ribosomal RNA", at positions 1470 to 1796 of the family's 1831-position model. The record is from RNAcentral.
CCCUUAGAUGUUCUGGGCUGCACGCGCGCUACACUGAUGCAUGCAACGAGUUUUCGACCUUGCCUGAAAAGGUUGGGUAAUCUGUUUAACAUGUGUCGUGAUGGGGAUAGACCAUUGCAAUUAUUGAUCUUCAACGAGGAAUUCCUAGUAAGCGCGAGUCAUCAGCUCGUGCUGAUUAUGUCCCUGCCCUUUGUACACACCGCCCGUCGCUCCUACCGAUUGAGUGAUCCGGUGUAUGAUUCGGACCAGCGUGCUGCUCAGAUCCUGCGCAGUGUGCUGGGAAGUCUAGUGAACCUUAUCACUUAGAGGAAGGAGAAGUCGUAACA